GAUGAACGCUGGCGGCGUGCCUAAUACAUGCAAGUCGAGCGAACAGAUGAGGAGCUUGCUCCUCUGACGUUAGCGGCGGACGGGUGAGUAACACGUGUAUAACCUACCUAUAAGACUGGGAUAACUUCGGGAAACCGGAGCUAAUACCGGAUAAUAUAUUGAACCGCAUGGUUCAAUAGUGAAAGACGGUUUUGCUGUCACUUAUAGAUGGAUCCGCGCCGCAUUAGCUAGUUGGUAAGGUAACGGCUUACCAAGGCAACGAUGCGUAGCCGACCUGAGAGGGUGAUCGGCCACACUGGAACUGAGACACGGUCCAGACUCCUACGGGAGGCAGCAGUAGGGAAUCUUCCGCAAGGGGCGAAAGCCUGACGGAGCAACGCCGCGUGAGUGAUGAAGGUCUUCGGAUCGUAAAACUCUGUUAUUAGGGAAGAACAAAUGUGUAAGUAACUAUGCACGUCUUGACGGUACCUAAUCAGAAAGCCACGGCUAACUACGUG
Molecule: ribosomal RNA, 497 nt
Filed under: uncultured bacterium
Lineage: Bacteria
Description: partial 16S ribosomal RNA
Rfam family: Bacterial small subunit ribosomal RNA
Source: RNAcentral